RNAcentral lists this ribosomal RNA (422 nucleotides) under Acanthosepion pharaonis. Its description in RNAcentral is "Sepia pharaonis partial 12S rRNA". Lineage: Eukaryota; Metazoa; Mollusca; Cephalopoda; Sepiida; Sepiidae. The record is from RNAcentral.
AUACAUAUAUCUUGAAUUUAUAUAAAUAUAAUAUAAAAAAAAGUGAUAAUUUAAAUAUAAUUAUUAGAGUAGUUGAGAAUAAUAGUUGUAGGUAAAAUUUAGAAUUGUUAUUAUUAAUUUAAUUUCUCUAUAAUUUAAACUUUGAAAAUAAGAUUAUAUAAAAACUAGGAUUAGAUACCCUAUUAUUCUUUAUUUUAAAUUUUUUUUAUUUAAGUAGUGUAAAUAUAAUUUAUUAAUUAAUAUUAGUAUUUGAAACUUAAAAAGCUUGGCGGUGCUAUAUAUCCAUUUAGGGGAGCUUGUUUAUUAAUUUGAUAAUCCUCAAUUAACUCUUACUUUUUUUUGAAUAUUUAACAGUUUGUAUAUUGCUGUCGUCAGUUUAUUUCGUGAGAAUUUUUAAAAAACUUAGGAGUAGAUUUACUAGC